AAUAUUGGACAAUGGGCGCAAGCCUGAUCCAGCCAUGCCGCGUGUGUGAUGAAGGCCUUAGGGGUGUAAAGCACUUUCACCGAUGCAGAUAAUGACGGUAGUAGGAGAAGAAGCACCGGCUAACUUCGUGACAGCAGCCGCGGUAAUACGAAGGGGGCUAGCGUUGUUCGGAAUUACUGGGCGUAAAGCGCAAGUAGGCGGAUUGGUAAGUUAGGGAUGAACACCCAGAGCUCAACCCUGGAACUGCCUUUAAUACUGCCAGUCUUGAGUUCUAGAGAGGUGAGUGGAAUUCCGAAUGUAGAGGUGAAAUUCGUAGAUAUUCAGAGGAACGCCAGUGGCGAAGGCGGCUCACUGGCUCAAUACUGACGCUGAGGUGCUAAAGCGUGGGGAGCAAACA
RNAcentral lists this ribosomal RNA (397 nucleotides) under uncultured bacterium. Its description in RNAcentral is "partial 16S ribosomal RNA". It matches the Rfam family "Bacterial small subunit ribosomal RNA", at positions 360 to 774 of the family's 1533-position model. The record is from RNAcentral.